Molecule: ribosomal RNA, 399 nt
Filed under: Pedinellales sp.
Lineage: Eukaryota; Dictyochophyceae; Pedinellales
Description: partial small subunit ribosomal RNA
Rfam family: Eukaryotic small subunit ribosomal RNA
Source: RNAcentral
AUUCCAGCUCCAAUAGCGUAUGUUAAUGUUGUUGCAGUUAAAAAGCUCGUAGUUGGAUUUCUGGUCGGAACGCCGGUCCGGCUCCGCAAGGGGUCGUGUAUUGGUUUCUCCUGCCAUCCUCAGGGGGAGCUGCGCUGGUAUUCAUUUAUCGGCGUGGUUACGCCUGUCGUUUACUGUGAACAAAUUAGAGUGUUCAAAGCAAGGUGUACUUGAAUACAUUAGCAUGGAAUAAUAAGAUAGGACUUUGGUGGUUCUUUUUGAUAUUUUGUUGGUUUGCACGCCAAAGUAAUGAUUAAUAGGAGCAGUUGGGGGUAUUCGUAUUCAAUUGUCAGAGGUGAAAUUCUUGGAUUUAUAGAAGACGAACUACUGCGAAAGCAUUUACCAAGGAUGUUUUCAUCA